GUCACUUUGCCGGAGUGGUUAACGGGAUCGCCUGCUAUUCAUAGCGUCAGCGGUUGGGCUUUGCCCGCGUGUGUUCGAAUCGCACAGGUGACG
Pleurotus ostreatus (oyster mushroom) is the source of this 93-nucleotide non-coding RNA. The record is from the annotation of a RefSeq genome assembly. NCBI's taxonomy places the organism in Eukaryota, Fungi, Basidiomycota, Agaricomycetes, Agaricales, Pleurotaceae.